This is a long non-coding RNA of Nyctereutes procyonoides (raccoon dog), 201 nucleotides long. RefSeq lists it as uncharacterized. Lineage: Eukaryota; Metazoa; Chordata; Mammalia; Carnivora; Canidae. The record is from RefSeq and is a predicted model, not a curated record. The transcript is spliced from 3 exons.
AAGGGAUUAAGCAGAUUGCAGCAUUAUGCAGCAGGUCUGUCAGCAGGGCUCAGGUGGACCUACUCAGAAAGCCUGGUAGGUGCUCCAAAGGGCUAACACAUUCACAGUCCUUCUUCAAGAACGUGCAGACACUGGCCAAAGAACAAGAGAGUGCAUGCACACGUACAUGCUUGAGCAGGGGGAAGGAGUAGAAGAGAGAAG